RNAcentral lists this ribosomal RNA (461 nucleotides) under uncultured bacterium. Its description in RNAcentral is "SSU rRNA". It matches the Rfam family "Bacterial small subunit ribosomal RNA", at positions 26 to 518 of the family's 1533-position model. The record is from RNAcentral.
AGAACGAACGCUGGCGGCAUGCCUAACACAUGCAAGUCGAACGCUUUUGGGGCUUCGGUCCCAAAGGAGUGGCGCACGGGUGAGUAGCGCGUGGGAACCUGCCCUGUUGUGGGGGAUAACCGAGGGAAACUUCGGCUAAUACCGCAUACGCCCGGGGGAAACUCCGGGGAAAGAUUUAUCGCAGCAGGAGGGGCCCGCGUCGGAUUAGGUAGUUGGUGGGGUAACGGCCCACCAAGCCUGUGAUCCGUAGCUGGUCUGAGAGGAUGAUCAGCCACACUGGGACUGAGACACGGCCCAGACUCCUACGGGAGGCAGCAGUGGGGAAUAUUGGACAAUGGGCGCAAGCCUGAUCCAGCAAUGCCGCGUGAGUGAUGAAGGCCUUCGGGUUGUAAAGCUCUUUCGCACGCGACGAUGAUGACGGUAGCGUGAGAAGAAGCCCGGCUACUCGUGCCAGCAGCCGC